UACGAAGGGGGCUAGCGUUGUUCGGAAUCACUGGGCGUAAAGAGCGCGUAGGCGGAUAUGUAAGUCAGAGGUGAAAGCCCAGGGCCCAACCUUGGAAUUGCCUUUGAAACUACAUAUCUAGAGACUCGGAGGGGAUAGUGGAAUUCCAAAUGUAGGGGUGAAAUCCGUAGAUAUUUGGAGGAACACCAGUGGCGAAGGCGGCUAUCUGGACGAGUACUGACGCUGAGGCGCGAAAGCGUGGGGAUCAAACAGG
Molecule: ribosomal RNA, 253 nt
Filed under: uncultured bacterium
Lineage: Bacteria
Description: partial 16S ribosomal RNA
Rfam family: Bacterial small subunit ribosomal RNA
Source: RNAcentral